AGAAAAAAACAAGCAAAAGAAACAAAAAAAAAGCAAUAUCUAAAAGAGAACAGAAAAAUGAAAAAACGCAACACCCACUCGCCAACUUGGAGUUGUUGCUCUUGGUGCACAUACAAUUGAGUGCUUGGAAAACAAUUUUUGUUGCUCGCAAGAUGAAGACACAACCGCUACUGCAUGCAAGACAUGUGAAGACAAAGCCUGUACAAUGGAUUCCGUGGGUCAAAUCCUGAGUCGACAAGAUAAUGAUGGAUGCUAUACAAAGGAGAAAAAGAAAGCAUAUGAAACAAUGAAACCAAAGAGAAUAUCAAAGGAGGUGAUACUUCGUCGAAUGGAAGGAAAGAAACAACUGAAAGAACAAGAGAAGCUGCUUCAAAAGCCGAAGGUGCUGAGAUGAAAAAAUAUAAGAAGGAGAUGCAGAAGUGGGAAAUGCGGAAAUAUACUCUAAAAACUGGGAUCAAGUGGAAGUAGGAUCUUUCUUUAUUUGUCUUUCUUUCUUUCUUCUUCCUUUGGAAUCCACUCACCGCCUUCAAGGCGCCUAAGCUGUUUUUUCGCUUUUGUAGCUUAUGAUAUCUGCUCACAAGUUUUGCAGAAAAAGGGCCUAGAUAUUGCACAACGUCAAACCCCAUGUUGUAUGGAGUACGGUAGUUCCUGAAUAAACUUAUGUGAUUUCUGAAUAUGCCUAGGAGACCAGCACAAGAGGACUAGGAAGCAAGUGAGGAAAAGCAAUAUCAACAAAAGAAGAAAAAAGAAACGAAGAAAAAAAGAAUAUCCGCGAAAAAAGAAGAAAAAGAAACAGAAAAAAAAAAGCAAUAUCCACAAGAAAAAAAAAAGAAACAGAACAAAAGCAAUAUAUUUAAAAAAAAAGCAAUAUCCAAAAGAGGAAAGAAAAAUAAAAAAAAGCAGCAUCCACUCGCCAACUUUGAAUUGUUGCUCUUGAUGCACAUAUAAUUGAGUGCUUGGAAAACAAUUUUUGUUGCUCGCAAGAUGAAGACACAACCGCUACUGCAUGCAAGGCAUGUGAAGACAAAGCCUGUAUAAUGGAUUCUGUGGGUCAAAUCCUGAGUCGACAAGAUAAAGAUGGAUGCUGUACAAAAGAGAAAAAGAAAGCAUAUGAAACAAUGAAACCAAAGAGAAUUUCAAAGGAGGAGAUACUUCGUCUAAUGGAAGAAAAGAAACAACUGUAAGAUGCUGCAAUUAUAUGUGCCUAGGCAAGUGAUGCAGCAUCAUUUUCAGGUAUAAGUGAUAUACUGGUGGUUGAGGCUUUUUCUUGAUAUGAAGGUGGUUGUCAAUGAUGAAUAGGGAGCUACUCUAAGCAGGAUGGAAUCUGAACGCUUGAUUGAAGGCACAGCUUGUGAUACUCAACAGAGUUCCUACACAGUUUCUUGCAAAGAAUUAUAAGGAAAAGGUCAAAUCCUGAGUCGACAAGAUAAAGAUCGAUGCUAUACAAAAGAGAAAAACAAAGCAUAUGAAACAAUGAAACCAAAGAGAUUAUCAAAGGAGGAGACACUUCGUCUAAUGGAAGGAAAGAAACAAUUGAAAGAACAAGAGAAGCUGCUUCAAAAGCCGAAGGUGCUGAGAUGAAAAAAUAUAAGAAGGAGAUGCUGAAGUGGGAAAUGGGGAAAUAUACUCUAAAAUCCAUUGUAGCUGAAAUUGACAAAAAAGUGGUUGAAUUGGGAUCAUGUGGAGCUUAGGAUAUCUGGUCACAAGGUUUGCAGAAAAAGGGCCUACAUAUUGCACAACGUCAAACCCCAUGGAAAGAACUAUUGUAUGGAGUACGAUAGUUCCUUGAGAAACUUAUGUGAUUUCGAUGAUGCAUUUGGAGACAUGCACAAGAAGCAAAGAAAAAAUGGAAUAUCCGCAAAAAAAAAAAAGAAAAAGAAACACAAAAAAGCUAUAUAUACAAAAAAACAAUAGGAAGAAAAAAAGAAAAAUAUGCAAUAUCUACAAGAGAAAAGAAAUAGAAAAAAGCAAUAUCCACUCGCUCACUGGAGUUGUUGCUCUGGAUGCAGAGACAAUUGAGUGCUUGGAAAACAAUUUUUGCAGCUCGUAAGAUGAAGACACGACCUACGAUCUUGUUGCAUGCAAAGCUAUAGUGUUGUUUUGGAGCUUGCCCAAGAAGCUUCCCAUCUAGCAGAUUGGGUACGUCAUGAAAACAUUGCUGCCAUCUUUUCACUGACCAUACUGGAAUAUGUGAGUGGGUGACAUGUUGAUGGCAGGUAGGAUAUUUCAAAAUAUUUUUUGAUCCUUAGUAUUCGUUUGACAUGCCUGUGACUAGUUUCUUUCAGUGCUAUCCAAGAGAGAGAAUUUUCAUUGAUAAGGCUUGAUGCCAUCUUAUAACCUACCAUACAGAUAUAUGUGAAUUAAUGUAGAUUCCAUUGUUUAUUUUAUUAUCCUAUUUAAAUGGUCAAAUUGAUGAUUUCUUAGGCAUGUAAGACAAAGCCUGUACAAUGGAUUUUGUGGGUCAAAUCCUGAGUCGACAAGAUAAAAAUGGAUGCUAUACAAAAGAGAAAAAGAAAGCAUAUCGUAGAAUGAAUUCUAUAUCUAUUUCCUUACUAUUUAUAUCCUGCCAAAUUUAUUAAAAUAUUUUCAAAUCAAAUAAUAAGUCAAAUUUAAAA
Non-coding RNA from Sesamum indicum (sesame), 2615 nucleotides. The record is from RefSeq and is a predicted model, not a curated record. NCBI's taxonomy places the organism in Eukaryota, Viridiplantae, Streptophyta, Magnoliopsida, Lamiales, Pedaliaceae.